This 293-nucleotide ribosomal RNA is filed under the name uncultured bacterium. Its description in RNAcentral is "partial 16S ribosomal RNA". The record is from RNAcentral.
GGACUACAAGGGUUUCUAAUCCUGUUCGCUCCCCACGCUUUCGCUCCUCAGCGUCAGUUCCGGCCCAGACCACCGCCUUCGCUACUGGUGUUCCUCCUGAUAUCUGCGCAUUUCACCGCUACACCAGGAAUUCCAUGGUCCCCUACCGGACUCAAGUCAUGGCAGUAUCGGAUGGCAGCCCCAGGUUGAGCCUGGGGAUUUAACACCCGACUUACCAAACCGCCUACGAGCUCUUUACGCCCAAUAAAUCCGGACAACGCUUGCACCCUACGUAUUACCGCGGCUGCUGGCAC